CCUCUGAAUUCCACCCCCCUCCCUAAAAAUGGAAUAACAGAUUUCUUGGCAUUGGUAUCCACUGUCGUUCGGCUCCUUGUCUCCUGCAAAUCAAAAUCCAAAUUAUUGAACAACCCUAACCGCCAAACGAUGUUACAAGGACAAAAGGCGAUCUUCUUACUUCUCUGAGUGCCGUCCGUUGACUGUCCAGCACCGUCCAACCGCCUCUACCUACGUUAAUCGGAUUUGUGUUGUCGGGAUUGUGAGUUGCGACGGUGGAAUUCUCAAAGUAUCGAAUUGUCAUUUCAUAAUUUUUGUUCAAGUCAUACUUCUCAGGUAAGCAAUGACUUGCCCUUGCUUAUUUAUUAAGAAAUAUUUGAAACAUGGCCGACUUAUAUUAUUUUGGCCUUUUCGGCUUAUAUGAUUACAUUGCGGUAUUGUACCCUUGUCGGGUUAUAUUGACUUUUAUUAGCUUUUAAUUGUAGGACCAAUUGCACAGGCGUACAUAGUGAUUAUGUUGAAGAUUUUAAUUGCGAGAUGAUUAAAAUGUUUUAUUAUUAUCAAUUUUAGGUUAAUCAUUGGACAACAUUCUUAUACCAUGCCUCCUAAAUAUGAGUCUGGAGCUCAAAAAAAGAAAAAGGAAACGAAAUGAGAUGACAUUAAUUCAAAGUCAAGCAGGAAAUAUUGACAAAUAUUUAAAAAAAAAAUGCGAAUGAAUUUGCUAAGAGUGAAAAAGUGAUUCAACUUGUCAAUGUAAAUGAAAUAGAUGAAAAUGAUGAAGAUAAUGUUCAACGUAAAAAUUUGGAAGACCCUGUAAAACUGCAAGGCAAAUAGUAUUUAGUUGAUCUUUUGGAACGUUGCCUACUCUGUUAGUAGAUUAUAAUAAAAAAUUUAUAACACUUUUUUUU
Long non-coding RNA from Olea europaea var. sylvestris, 887 nucleotides. RefSeq lists it as uncharacterized. The record is from RefSeq and is a predicted model, not a curated record. The transcript is spliced from 2 exons. NCBI's taxonomy places the organism in Eukaryota, Viridiplantae, Streptophyta, Magnoliopsida, Lamiales, Oleaceae.